RNAcentral lists this ribosomal RNA (492 nucleotides) under uncultured bacterium. RNAcentral's name for it is "partial 16S ribosomal RNA". It matches the Rfam family "Bacterial small subunit ribosomal RNA", at positions 29 to 507 of the family's 1533-position model. The record is from RNAcentral.
AGUGAACGCUGGCGGUAGGCCUAACACAUGCAAGUCGAACGGCAGCACAGUAAGAGCUUGCUCUUACGGGUGGCGAGUGGCGGACGGGUGAGGAAUACAUCGGAAUCUACUUUUUCGUGGGGGAUAACCUAGGGAAACUUACGCUAAUACCGCAUACGACCUACGGGUGAAAGCAGGGGAUCUUCGGACCUUGCGCGAUUGAAUGAGCCGAUGUCGGAUUAGCUAGUUGGCGGGGUAAAGGCCCACCAAGGCGACGAUCCGUAGCUGGUCUGAGAGGAUGAUCAGCCACACUGGAACUGAGACACGGUCCAGACUCCUACGGGGGGCAGCAGUGGGGAAUAUUGGACAAUGGGCGCAAGCCUGAUCCAGCCAUACUGCGUGGGUGAAGAAGGCCUUCGGGUUGUAAAGCCCUUUUGUUGGGAAAGAAAAGCAGCAGGUUAAUACCCCGCUGUUCUGACGGUACCCAAAGAAUAAGCACCGGCUAACUUCGUG